CGGAGAUGUAAGUGCAGUAAUGUAUUGAGUCGACCGAUACUAAUAGGCCGAGGACUUGACCUAAUAUA
RNAcentral lists this ribosomal RNA (68 nucleotides) under Oscillospiraceae bacterium. RNAcentral's name for it is "partial 23S ribosomal RNA". The record is from RNAcentral. Lineage: Bacteria; Bacillati; Bacillota; Clostridia; Eubacteriales; Oscillospiraceae.